Molecule: ribosomal RNA, 253 nt
Filed under: uncultured bacterium
Lineage: Bacteria
Description: partial 16S ribosomal RNA
Rfam family: Bacterial small subunit ribosomal RNA
Source: RNAcentral
UACGGAGACUGCGAGCGUUACUCGGAUUCACUGGGCGUAAAGGGUGCGCAGGCGGCUAGAUGUGUCAGAUGUGAAAUUUUGAAGCUUAACUUCAAACCUGCGUCUGAAACUAUCUAGCUAGAGUAUUGAAGAGGUAAGCGGAAUUCCUAGUGUAGCAGUGAAAUGCGUAGAUAUUAGGAGGAACACCAAAGGCGAAGGCAGCUUACUGGACAAUAACUGACGCUCAUGCACGAAAGCGUGGGGAGCAAAAGGG